Molecule: non-coding RNA, 217 nt
Filed under: Bacteroides faecichinchillae
Lineage: Bacteria; Pseudomonadati; Bacteroidota; Bacteroidia; Bacteroidales; Bacteroidaceae
Source: RNAcentral
CUAUCUUUGUGCCGUUAAGGUUCUUUCCGACAGAUGUCUACGGAAAGAUUAAAAGGGAAUGUCGUGUAAACCGGCAACAGUUCUCGCUGCUGUAAAUUUCAUUUCUCCUAUUAAUAGGGGAAUAUAUAGAGAAAAAAAGCCACUGGUCUUAACAAGAUUGGGAAGGCGUAUCUAUUAAGAAAUGAGUCAGAAGACCUACCUAUACAAAAAAGGAAUA